This 1062-nucleotide long non-coding RNA is filed under the name Salmo salar (Atlantic salmon). Its description in RNAcentral is "lncRNA (ENSSSAG00000120423.1)". The record is from RNAcentral. Lineage: Eukaryota; Metazoa; Chordata; Actinopteri; Salmoniformes; Salmonidae.
GUGAACCCUCCUUUAAUAGUCAUAUUUCAUUAAUAUACAGGGUCCAUUUUGACACAAGACAACAAUCCAGACUAAGAAUUUACCAAAGGUCAGAUCAUAAUGAAUACGGGUGUUAUAUGGACAGAGUCGAACUGAUCUCAGAUCAGCACUCAUACUCUGAUGGCGAAUUCUCUCUCUCCGAUCAUCCUUUCCAUAAUUUCAGAAUGUCACCAGGUGUGGAGGUGUAACCAGGGUGUAGUGAUGUAGUAAAUUAAUGUCACCAGGUGUGGAGGUGUAACCAGGGUGUAGUGAUGUAGUAAAUUAAUGUCAUCAGGUGUGGAGGUGUAACCAGGGUGUAGUGAUGUAGUAAAUUAAUGUCAUCAGGUGUGGAGGUGUAACCAGGGUGUAGUGAUGUAGUAAAUUAAUGUCACCAGGUGUGGAGGUGUAACCAGGGUGUAUUGAUGUAGUAAAUUAAUGUCACCAGGUGUGGAGGUGUAACCAGGGUGUAGUGAUGUAGUAAAUUAAUGUCACCAGGUGUGGAGGUGUAACCAGGGUGUAGUGAUGUAGUAAAUUAAUGUCACCAGGUGUGGAGGUGUAACCAGGGUGUAGUGAUGUAGUAAAUUAAUGUCACCAGGUGUGGAGGUGUAACCAGGGUGUAGUGCUGCUAGAGGUUUAAUUAAUAAAAUACUAUGUGAUCUUAACUCACCUGUCCAUCGUCUGCUGUGUCCCUUGUGUCAGAGGUGGAUUUGGAGGCCUUCCUGUUUUACACGUCAACAAAUGAAUGAAUGAAUGAAUGAAUAAUCAAGUUAAUAAAUUAAAAUGAUAAUGUGAAAUGACGGUCUUAGAAAGAUUCUCACCUGAACCACAUGAAGACAGAGAGACGGAGUAUGAUAAUCUGUGAUUCCUUCAGCUGAAGUCAUAACUGAGGUCUGUUUCUCUAAAGGUUCAACAAAAAGGUGGAUGAUAUGAAUACACAUGUUAUCAUAUAGUGGAGCUUGAAAUGAAAUAUCCUUGUAUUUGAAUCUCACAUUUUUUACCUGUACUUGUUGACUUUCUCUCAGAUAUGUGAUUCUCAGGGUGGAG